AACGAACGCUGGCGGCAUGCCUAACACAUGCAAGUCGAACGAGACCUUCGGGUCUUGUCGCCCCCGGGUGCGUCACGCGUGGGAACCUUCCCUUAUGUUCGGAAUACCUCCCCGACUGGGGUGCCAAUACGGGAUAGUGUCUUCGGACCAAAGAUUUAUCGCGUUUGGUUGGGCCCGCGUUGAAUUCGCUAGUUGGUAGGGUAAAAGCCUACUACGGCGACAAUCCAUAACUGGGCUGAGAGGAUGGUUAGCCACACUUGGACUGAGACACGGCCCAGAAUCCUACGGGAGGGAGCAGUGGGGAAUAGUGGAAAAUGGGCGAAAGCCUGAUCCAACAAUGCCGCGUGAGUGAUGAAGGCCUUAGGGUUGUAAAGCGCUUUUAACCGGGAUGAUAAUGACAGUACCGGGAGAAUAAGCUCCGGCUAACUCCGUG
This 433-nucleotide ribosomal RNA is filed under the name uncultured bacterium. RNAcentral describes it as "partial 16S ribosomal RNA". It matches the Rfam family "Bacterial small subunit ribosomal RNA", at positions 29 to 507 of the family's 1533-position model. The record is from RNAcentral.